UUCUUAUCCUGAGAGGUGGAGGGACUGGCCCUGUGAAGCCCGACAACCAGCAAUUUAUUGCCCGGUGUUAAAUCCUGCAGAUUUUAUUCUGAAAGAUAAGAG
RNAcentral lists this non-coding RNA (102 nucleotides) under Clostridium grantii. RNAcentral's name for it is "SAM-I sequence". It matches the Rfam family "SAM riboswitch aptamer (S box leader)". From Rfam's summary of the family: The SAM riboswitch is found upstream of a number of genes which code for proteins involved in methionine or cysteine biosynthesis in Gram-positive bacteria. The SAM riboswitch acts at the level of transcription termination control. The record is from RNAcentral. RNAcentral also lists the same sequence under 1 other name. Lineage: Bacteria; Bacillati; Bacillota; Clostridia; Eubacteriales; Clostridiaceae.